AACGGCCAUACCAUGCUGAAUAUACCGGUUCUCGUUCAAUCACAGAAGUCAACCAUCAUUGGGCGCGGUCAGUACUUGGGUGGGUGACCACCUGGGAACACCGCGUGCCGUU
RNAcentral lists this ribosomal RNA (112 nucleotides) under Caerostris darwini. The record is from RNAcentral. Lineage: Eukaryota; Metazoa; Arthropoda; Arachnida; Araneae; Araneidae.